RNAcentral lists this ribosomal RNA (253 nucleotides) under uncultured bacterium. RNAcentral's name for it is "partial 16S ribosomal RNA". It matches the Rfam family "Bacterial small subunit ribosomal RNA", at positions 524 to 776 of the family's 1533-position model. The record is from RNAcentral.
UACGUAGGGUGCAAGCGUUGUCCGGAAUUAUUGGGCGUAAAGAGCUCGUAGGCGGUUUGUCGCGUCUGCUGUGAAAGCCCGGGGCUCAACCCCGGGUCUGCAGUGGGUACGGGCAGACUAGAGUGCAGUAGGGGAGACUGGAAUUCCUGGUGUAGCGGUGAAAUGCGCAGAUAUCAGGAGGAACACCGGUGGCGAAGGCGGGUCUCUGGGCAACUACUGACGCUGAGGAGCGAAAGCGUGGGGAGCGAACAGG